This is a ribosomal RNA of Cyprinus carpio carpio, 119 nucleotides long. Lineage: Eukaryota; Metazoa; Chordata; Actinopteri; Cypriniformes; Cyprinidae. The record is from Ensembl.
GCAUACAGCCAUACCACCCUGAGCGCGCCCGAUCUCGUCUGAUCUCGGAAGCUAAGCAGGGUCGGGCCUGGUUAGUACUUGGAUGGGAGACCGCCUGGGAAUACCAGGUGCUGUAAGAU